Molecule: unclassified non-coding RNA, 333 nt
Filed under: Hevea brasiliensis (rubber tree)
Lineage: Eukaryota; Viridiplantae; Streptophyta; Magnoliopsida; Malpighiales; Euphorbiaceae
Source: RNAcentral
UCCACCCGCCAACCUGAAGGAAUUGCCGGGUUCGGUCGCAGCAUGGAGUCUCUUCCUCUACAAUUGGGACUCAAGAAAUUCUCUUACUGUUUGGUAUCUCGCCGCUUCGACAACACUCAGGUGAGCAGCGACCUUAUUCUGGAUAUGGGUUCGGAUUCCGGCGAUGCCAAGACCCCUGGCCUUAACUACACAAAGUUUGUAAAGAAUCCAGUGAGGUCAAACUCGGCAUUUCAAGAAUAUUACUACGUAAUACUGCAAAAAAUUGUAGUCGGCGACAAACAUGUUAAAGUUCCUUACAAUUUGUCGGUGCCGCAAUCUGACGGCAAUGGAGGG